UUACCAUGCAGUCGACGAUGAUGCCAGCUUGCUGGUGGAUUAGUGGCGAACGGGUGAGUAACACGUGAGUAACCUGCCCUUAACUCUGGGAUAAGCCUGGGAAACUGGGUCUAAUACCGGAUAUGACUCCUCAUCGCAUGGUGGGGGGUGGAAAGCUUUUUGUGGUUUUGGAUGGACUCGCGGCCUAUCAGCUUGUUGGUGAGGUAAUGGCUCACCAAGGCGACGACGGGUAGCCGGCCUGAGAGGGUGACCGGCCACACUGGGACUGAGACACGGCCCAGACUCCUACGGGAGGCAGCAGUGGGGAAUAUUGCACAAUGGGCGCAAGCCUGAUGCAGCGACGCCGCGUGAGGGAUGACGGCCUUCGGGUUGUAAACCUCUUUCAGUAGGGAAGAAGCGAAAGUGACGGUACCUGCAGAAGAAGCGCCGGCUAACUACGUGCCAGCAGCCGCGGUAAUACGUAGGGCGCAAGCGUUAUCCGGAAUUAUUGGGCGUAAAGAGCUCGUAGGCGGUUUGUCGCGUCUGCCGUGAAAGUCCGGGGCUCAACUCCGGAUCUGCGGUGGGUACGGGCAGACUAGAGUGAUGUAGGGGAGACUGGAAUUCCUGGUGUAGCGGUGAAAUGCGCAGAUAUCAGGAGGAACACCGAUGGCGAAGGCAGGUCUCUGGGCAUUAACUGACGCUGAGGAGCGAAAGCAUGGGGAGCGAACAGGAUUAGAUACCCUGGUAGUCCAUGCCGUAAACGUUGGGCACUAGGUGUGGGGGACAUUCCACGUUUUCCGCGCCGUAGCUAACGCAUUAAG
This 800-nucleotide ribosomal RNA is filed under the name Bacillus aerius. Its description in RNAcentral is "bacterial SSU rRNA". It matches the Rfam family "Bacterial small subunit ribosomal RNA", at positions 49 to 864 of the family's 1533-position model. The record is from RNAcentral. Lineage: Bacteria; Bacillati; Bacillota; Bacilli; Caryophanales; Bacillaceae.